GCAGUCUCCAGGAGGGGCUUGAACUCACUUGAACUGAACUCACUUGAACUCCAGGAGGGGACUUGAACUGACACAGGGCUUGAACUCAUGGACCGUGAGAUCAUGACCUGGCAGAAGUCGGACGCUUCACCGACCAAACCACCCAGGCGCCCCUAAAGUUGCAGGCACACACAGCCUUCUCGAACUCGGGAACACCAGACAGCCCUUCAGCAUCGUGUGUGGAGCCAUUUUAGGUAGCAAUAUCAGCAACAAAAAGCACAAAAAUGUGAAAUCCAUCCAUGAAUCAGCCACAAGAAGAACAGCUGUUUACAACAGAGGAGUUGAAACAAGAAGGAAGUGAAGGCAUCACACAAAGAACAAGCAAGCAAACAAACAAACAAAAACGGCAGGAAAAUCAAGCAAAGACCUUCCACUCUGUUGAGACGUUGGUGCCUGCUGGAGGUUCGCGGUCCCGUGUAAAAAGGGGAAAGAUAGUAUCACAGGAUCCCAAGGCACUAAGAGGGCGACUGCUACUUGUCGCUGACUUAAGGGAUGGGAAGGAACGGAAAGGGAGCGGUUUCUCUCCAGGACGUGCACGGCCACUUGGGGAUGGAAAAUGUUCCCUCCUCCGCCGACCUGGGGGCAAGGUCCUCUUCUCUGCUCCGCCCCCGCCCUG
This is a long non-coding RNA of Neofelis nebulosa (Clouded leopard), 655 nucleotides long. RefSeq lists it as uncharacterized. The transcript is spliced from 3 exons. NCBI's taxonomy places the organism in Eukaryota, Metazoa, Chordata, Mammalia, Carnivora, Felidae. The record is from RefSeq and is a predicted model, not a curated record.